UCUGAUAAGUCAGAGGUGAAAGUCGGUUGCUUAACGAUCGAAUUGCCUUGAAACUGUUUAGACUCGAGUAUGGAUGCGGUAGGCGGAAUGUGUAGUGUAGCGGUGAAAUGCAUAGAUAUUACACAGAACACCGAUUGCGAAGGCAGCUUACCAAACCGGCACUGACGCUGAAGCACGAAAGCGUGGGUAGCGAACAGGAUUAGAUACCCUGGUAGUCCACGCCGUAAACUUUGCUCACUCGCUGUUGGCGAUACACAGUCAGCGGCUAAGGGAAACCGAUAAGUGAGCCACCUGGGGAGUACGAUCGCAAGAUUGAAACUCAAAGGAAUUGACGGGGGCCCGCACAAGCGGUGGAACAUGUGGUUUAAUUCGAUGAUACGCGAGGAACCUUACCUGGGCUUAAAUGUAUAGUGCAUGAAUGUGAAAACAUUCUUUCCUUCGGGACUUUAUACAAGGUGCUGCAUGGUUGUCGUCAGCUCGUGCCGUGAGGUGUCGGGUUAAGUCCCAUAACGAGCGCAACCCCUAUUGUUAGUUACCAGCGCGUAAUGGCGGGGACUCUAGCGAAACUGCCGGUGUAAACCGCGAGGAAGGUGGGGAUGACGUCAAAUCAGCACGGCCCUUAUGUCCAGGGCUACACACGUGUUACAAUGGCCGGUACAGAGGGCAGCGGAGUAGUGAUACUUAGCGAAUCUCCAAAGCCGGUCCCAGUUCGGAUUGGAGUCUGCAACCCGACUCCAUG
Molecule: ribosomal RNA, 739 nt
Filed under: uncultured organism
Description: bacterial SSU rRNA
Rfam family: Bacterial small subunit ribosomal RNA
Source: RNAcentral